CAAUCACUUAACAAGGAAGGUCAUUCUCUCUCCCUCCCUCUCUCCUACUCCACAAUGCAAAUAUUCAACACGAGGUUGAGCAGAAUCUCCUGGGCGACUUCAGUGGAUAUCUUGGAGGUCAUAGAGUCUGCAGUGUGACUGCACUGUCCCACUUUAAAGCGUGUCAAGAGGGCUUACACCCACAAAAGAAGGCAAACAACAAGCUGUUCAAGGUCAAGCCACAGGCCCCAGUUACUGCAACACUUAUGGCCUGAGCUGAUGAGGAAAGCAGAUGUGAUUUCUCUAAGUAUGUCAUACCCAGAAGUAGGACAGCAGCAAACCAAGGAGAAAAGCUACCUAGAGACUGCUAUAAAACAAGGCCAAUGCAGUGUGGGAAGUACCUUCAACUAGAGAACUCAUACAGGCACUUUAUAGCAGCAGGGGUGUGGUCAAGCUCUGUCUAGGGUAUUUUUAAUUCCAGUGAGGGGAGAUGACUCCAUGUCCUCCUCAAUAUCUUCCUCAGAUCCAGGGUUUCUGCGCCAUCGUGACAUCCUGGUAGUCAGUGAUGGGAAUGAGGACACUGGUACCAGGCUUUGGAGAGAGCAAAGCUGACGCUGUACUUUGUGUGAGUGUGUGUGUGUGUGUGUGUG
Long non-coding RNA from Ictalurus punctatus (channel catfish), 629 nucleotides. The record is from Ensembl. NCBI's taxonomy places the organism in Eukaryota, Metazoa, Chordata, Actinopteri, Siluriformes, Ictaluridae.